Molecule: ribosomal RNA, 520 nt
Filed under: uncultured Archaeospora
Lineage: Eukaryota; Fungi; Glomeromycota; Glomeromycetes; Archaeosporales; Archaeosporaceae
Description: SSU rRNA
Rfam family: Eukaryotic small subunit ribosomal RNA
Source: RNAcentral
AGCAGCCGCGGUAAUUCCAGCUCCAAUAGCGUAUAUUAAAGUUGUUGCAGUUAAAAAGCUCGUAGUUGAAUUUUGGAUUCUGCCAGUUGGUCCAUCUUUUGAUGAGUACUGAUUGUGUGGGGUCUAUCCGCCUGGUGAUACGUAAUGUACUUUAUUGUAUGUUACGGGUAGUCAGGACCUUUACCUUGAAAAAAUUAGAGUGUUUAAAGCAGGCUUAUGCCGGAAUACAUUAGCAUGGAAUAAUAGAAUAGGACGAAGUUGUUUUAUUUUGUUGGUUUUCUAGGACAACCGUAAUGAUUAAUAGGGAUGGUUGGGGGCAUUAGUAUUCAAUUGUCAGAGGUGAAAUUCUUGGAUUUAUUGAAGACUAACUACUGCGAAAGCAUUUGCCAAGGAUGUUUUCAUUAAUCAAGAACGAAAGUUAGGGGAUCGAAGACGAUCAGAUACCGUCGUAGUCUUAACCAUAAACUAUGCCGACUAGGGAUCGGGCGAUGUUGUUUCCAUGACUCGCUCGGCACCUUAU